GCUAGACAAUUAUUUUUCAGUUGAAGGUUAAUUUAAUUUGAGGUUUGUUUAAGUUGUGAGGUUAUGUGCUUUAAUUCUCUUCAUCUUAUUUUCUAUUUUCUAUUAAUUUCUGAAUUCGAGGAACACCACCUCCAUUGUUGUUUUCUUGAGAAUUCAAGGGGUCCAUUGAAUCUCUUGGGAAGACAACAUAUUGCUAAUUAAUCUAAUUAAAU
This 212-nucleotide long non-coding RNA is filed under the name Manihot esculenta (cassava). RNAcentral's name for it is "long non-coding RNA (MESC_LNC012062)". Lineage: Eukaryota; Viridiplantae; Streptophyta; Magnoliopsida; Malpighiales; Euphorbiaceae. The record is from RNAcentral.